GAUGAACGCUGGCGGCGUGCUUAACACAUGCAAGUCGUACGGUAAGGCCCUUUCGGGGGUACACGAGUGGCGAACGGGUGCGUAACACGUGAGUAACCUGCCCACAACUUUGGGAUAACGCUAGGAAACUGGUGCUAAUACUGGAUAUGUGCUCCUGCUGCAUGGUGGGGGUUGGAAAGCUCCGGCGGUUGUGGAUGGACUCGCGGCCUAUCAGCUUGUUGGUGGGGUAGUGGCCUACCAAGGCGGCGACGGGUAGCCGGCCUGAGAGGGUGACCGGCCACAUUGGGACUGAGAUACGGCCCAGACUCCUACGGGAGGCAGCAGUGGGGAAUAUUGCACAAUGGGCGCAAGCCUGAUGCAGCAACGCCGCGUGCGGGAUGACGGCCUUCGGGUUGUAAACCGCUUUCAGCAGGGACGAAGCUUUUUGUGACGGUACCUGCAGAAGAAGCACCGGCUAACUACGUG
RNAcentral lists this ribosomal RNA (465 nucleotides) under uncultured bacterium. RNAcentral describes it as "partial 16S ribosomal RNA". It matches the Rfam family "Bacterial small subunit ribosomal RNA", at positions 28 to 507 of the family's 1533-position model. The record is from RNAcentral.